GUAGGGAAUAUUGGACAAUGGGCGAAAGCCUGAUCCAGCCAUGCCGCGUGAUAGAUGAAGGCCCUCUGGGUUGUAAAUAUCUUUUAUCUGGGAAGAAACUCCUCUAUUCUUAGAGGCCUGACGGUACCAGAGGAAUAAGCACCGGCUAACUCCGUGCCAGCAGCCGCGGUAAUACGGAGGGUGCAAGCGUUAUCCGGAUUCACUGGGUUUAAAGGGUGCGUAGGCGGGUUGAUAAGUCAGUUGUGAAAGCUCCGGGCUUAACUUGGAAACUGCCAUUGAUACUGUCAGUCUUGAAUGUCAGAGAGGUAAGCGGAAUGUUGCAUGUAGCUGUGAAAUGCUUAGAUAUGUUACAGAACACCAAUUGCGAAGGCAGCUUACUAUGCGAUAAUUGACGCUGAGGCACGAAAGCGUGGGGAGCAAACAGGAUUAGAAACCCGAGUAGUCC
This 445-nucleotide ribosomal RNA is filed under the name uncultured bacterium. Its description in RNAcentral is "partial 16S ribosomal RNA". It matches the Rfam family "Bacterial small subunit ribosomal RNA", at positions 354 to 796 of the family's 1533-position model. The record is from RNAcentral.